AAGUCGUAACAAGGUUUCCGUAGAUGAACCUGCGGAAGGAUCAUUAACACGUAUCCAACGUUAAACCCCCUGUGAACUUUUAUACUUGCUCUAUUAACUGACGGAAUUGCAAUCCCUGGUAAAUCAUUGUUGAACAGAUUUUGAUUCAGGGACCUCAGUUUGGCAGUUAGGAUUGAGCGAUCGUUGCAAGUGGCCUGGCUGGCAACAAAACGAACAACUGUUAACAAUGGAUAUCUUGGUUCUC
Molecule: unclassified non-coding RNA, 244 nt
Filed under: fungal sp.
Lineage: Eukaryota; Fungi
Description: partial internal transcribed spacer region
Rfam family: Eukaryotic small subunit ribosomal RNA (bases 1-46)
Source: RNAcentral